UAUGCUAUGCUAGUAGUAUGU
Molecule: non-coding RNA, 21 nt
Filed under: Caenorhabditis elegans
Lineage: Eukaryota; Metazoa; Nematoda; Chromadorea; Rhabditida; Rhabditidae
Source: RNAcentral